RNAcentral lists this ribosomal RNA (465 nucleotides) under uncultured bacterium. Its description in RNAcentral is "bacterial SSU rRNA". It matches the Rfam family "Bacterial small subunit ribosomal RNA", at positions 28 to 487 of the family's 1533-position model. The record is from RNAcentral.
GACGAACGCUGGCGGCGUGCUUAACACAUGCAAGUCGAGCGGUAAGGCCCUUUCGGGGGUACACGAGCGGCGAACGGGUGAGUAACACGUGGGUGACCUGCCCUCAGCUCUGGGAUAAGCCUGGGAAACCGGGUCUAAUACUGGAUAUGACUCCAUGACGCAUGUUGUGGGGUGGAAAGCCUUGUGCGGCUGAGGAUGGGCCCGCGGCCUAUCAGCUUGUUGGUGGGGUGANGGCCUACCAAGGCGACGACGGGUAGCCGGCCUGAGAGGGCGACCGGCCACACUGGGACUGAGACACGGUCCAGACUCCUACGGGAGGCAGCAGUGGGGAAUUUUCGCAAUGGGGGCAACCCUGACGAAGCAACGCCGCGUGGGGAUGAAGGUCUUCGGAUUCGUAAACCCCUGUCGACCGGGACGAAUGUAGAACGGCCUAAUACGCCGAGCUAUUGAUUGUACCGGUGGAGG